GAUGAACGCUGGCGGUAUGCUUUACACAUGCAAGUCGUACGAUAGUUUAAAACUAAAGUGGCGGACGGGUGAGUAACACGUAAGAAUUUACCUUUAGGAGGGGGACAACAACUGGAAACGGUUGCUAAUACCCCAUAUGCUUUCGAGUAAAAUGGAAUUUUUCGCCUAAAGAGAAGCUUGCGGCUGAUUAGCUUGUUGGUAAGGUAAUGGCUUACCAAGGCGACGAUCAGUAUCUGGUUUGAGAGGACGAUCAGACACACUGGAACUGAGACACGGUCCAGACUCCUACGGGAGGCAGCAGUGGGGAAUUUUCCGCAAUGGGCGAAAGCCUGACGGAGCAAUACCGCGUGAGGGAUGACGGCCUAUGGGUUGUAAACCUCUUUUUUUAGGGAGGAAUAAAAUGACGUGUACCUAAAGAAUAAGCAUCGGCUAACUCCGUGCCAGCGCCGCGGU
Molecule: ribosomal RNA, 453 nt
Filed under: uncultured bacterium
Lineage: Bacteria
Description: bacterial SSU rRNA
Rfam family: Bacterial small subunit ribosomal RNA
Source: RNAcentral